GCGUACACCCGCAUGGUAGACCAUAGUUCCCCCGGCGCUGCUGCCCAUUAAAAAGCACUUGGAGAAGUCGACCGCGUCUUUCAGCCAGGGAUCGCGGCCAUCGACGUCGGAGGCCUGGCUGCGGGCCCAGGCGAUGGCUUCGACGGCGUCAUCGAAUGCAGACGGGAGAGGGUGUUCAGGAGCUAAACGGUAGUCGACGGAGACGAUUAUGGCUCGGAGGGAAAGAGCCAUUUCGGAACAGGUGUCGUGGUAGGGUUUGGAGGCGGCGGAGAAGAGGACGAAGCCGCCGCCGUGGAAGUAGAGGAUGAGAGCGAGGUGGGGGUUUGGGGGGAGUGGGUGGGGUUUGAAGAGCCUCAGGAAGGUUUUGGUUUCUGGGUUUAAGGGAAUGUCCUUGGAGAGGACGAGUUGGGGCGUGUUGGAGUUUGACUUGGUGCGAAAGGACUCAGCUGGUGGAGUCAGAGUUGGGGGGACAAUGGGGAAUAAUGGGGUGGCGCGGUUGAGGGAGCCGUCUGGGUUUGGGAGGAUGAAUUUGUAGAGGUCGAUGGAGGCUGCCGGGUUCGGAGAAGAAGGUUCAUCCGCCAUUGUUGUUCUGGAAUCUGGGCUCGUUCGUAUACUAGUGUAAUAUUAUGCGUGCCUGCAAAGUGUUUGUGUUACAACGUAUUUGUAGAAGAAAGCGGGGUUGGAAAUGAAGGAUCUCUCAGAAGGAUCUCUAUAGAAAAGAAGACAAUUAUGAGGUUGACAGAUACCAAUCUCUAUAGAAAAUAAGACAAUUAUGAGGUUGAUAGAUACCGUCUGCACAAAAUUGUAUGGUCGCCAGGAGAUGCGUUAAGAACUAGGGGACUUUCUUGGAUGCUAACCGUUAGAUCGUUGUUUACAAAUAUAAAAAUUAAGAUUUCUGGUCAAAACACUCGGAGUACUUAAAAGAUUUUUUUGUAGAAUUGUAUUCGGUCAUUUUCUUCACUUAAUAAUGUCUUAAUGAUUUUGAAUUUGUUUAUGUCUUUGCAAAGAUGAUCAAAUGGAAGGUGGAUUGUCUAUGUACUAAAAGAUAUACAUCUCGAAUCAUUGAAAUACAUUAAAAAGUGGAUCCCACAAAACGUGGCACAAAAGCAUGCGUUAAAAAGGUAUGUGACGGGUCUUACCCAAUAACUAUAACAUAAGUAGUUGACAAGGACAUGAUUGAUAAUUUAAUAAAUUAAUUGAGAAUUAUUAUUGGUAUUUUAAAAAGGUAAUAAAUGUUAUCUAAUUAUAAUUGUGCAAAUUCUAGAUAGAUUUAGAUUUUACAUUAUCCAUUGGUUUAGGGAAAUUUUAUUUGAACUCAUCUAACCUCUUUCUACACUCAACUUAAAUUAUAAAUGUGAAUUGUCUAUUUUAUCUUAACGCAUAAUUACCAUCAAAUAAAAGAUGAAAUUAAGAAUAAAACUAAAAUUUAUCAAUAAACUCAAACUCAAUAAUUAAGUUCUACCAGCACACAAUCUUUAUCCUACAUUCAUUUUGACUAAAUUCCUAAGAGCUACCAUAAAACCCUACGAUCACCUAAUAAUCAAAUUUGGUUGCUUUUCGUUUCCUCUCUAGCUUCAUGUUAACUAGAUCAGUAAGAGCAAUAAUUACAAGCAAUAUCACCACAAGAAACAAAAGAGUCAGAAAGCUUUCAACAAAUUGAUGCUGCUGAUCAAUUCAUCUAUUAGAAACUCGACCAAAAGAUGAAGCGAUUUUUGCAUGCUUACUCUUGUAAUCACUCCAUGUGCCAUAUGCAAACAAUCGAAGCACAUCGAGGUAGACAUAAUUUUCAGUUCCUUCAAGCUGCACAUAUUCCACAGUAAAAAAAACAAAUGCAUAUGAAACAAGACCCAGUAACAAUCAACAAUUUUAUUUUGUCUUUGGUUGCAACAAAAUUCUGAUUAUACAUCAUUUGCUCAAACCCAGAAACUACACCACCAAAAUAUACACAGAAAAAUGAAACUUCCACAAUAAAUAAAUAAAAACAUGGGAACUUGAAGAACAUUAGGGAUAGCGAUAAUUUUCGAAAAGGCAAAAAGGGCAGGGUGGGAGGUGACUUAUGCGACUAGGGGGUCGAGGGCGGAGCCAUCAAGUGAUGAGGCUUGCUUCACGAAGUGAUCAAUGACCUCAUCUUGCUUUUGCUUUCUAAAAGGGUGUAAAGAUGAAUUUUUAUAUAUUGAAUUGAGUUUAUGAGGGUAGUUUAGAUAGUAAAUUUAGGUUUAAAAAGAGAUUGAUUCUUUAAUUAAGAAUAAUAUGGGUGUAAAGAGUAAGUUGGGUGUAGAAAAUGGUUGUAUGGGUUCAAAUAAAAUUUAUCUUACUUUAUUGAUUCUUUUUCUGUAUGAUUGUUCUUAUUUGGAGGGCAAUUUAAUCCUCUCUUGUUGGUUUACUAUAAACAAAAGCACUGUAUAGGGAGAACCACAACAAUCUCCAAGCAUUCUACAAUUUCUCCACUAUCUCUAUUGAUGUCACGCCCUCUCUCCCUCAGAUAAAAUAGGUCACAACACGUUAUCAACGCGCUCCUAAGCUGUGCUACAAACCAAUUCACCAAUAUCAUCAACUAAUUUAGGUUCUUCUAAAACACUGUCUUAAUAGUUGAUAUUUUUCAACCAUAAUUGCAUGAACCUUUACAUAAUGCAUGAACCCAACUUUACGCUUUCCGAAUAAUUGUAUUUGCAUUAUAUUUAAAAUAUUUUUAUAUUUUAUGAAUUAGUGUUGUGAAAGGAAAAAAACAAAGUUUAGGGUUUUGAAAAAAAAUUCCGAGCAACCCGCAGCUGCCGCUGAGCCACUCAAGCAGCAACACCAGGCUAGCAGCCGGCGAAGCUUAGCCAAGCCAAGGAGCCAUCUGGUCCACCGGAGAACCAGAAUGAUGUCGUUUUGGCAUUGUCCCCUCCCCUCCCCCCAAACCCAGAUCUGCUCACCUAAACUACGCUCACUGCCACACCAAUUUUUUUGGAAAAUCACGACCUUCAAUCAUGUUCUUGGACUGAACUCUUCAACAAUGUUGUUCAAAAUUUCAGAAGAAUUUCGUCUAAUCCCUACGGUUCUCUACAUCCCCGACGUUGAAACCAACUUUCUAUCGAAAACCUAGGGUUACAGUUAAACCAGUGGCUCGCCUCGAUGUACCCACACCCAGCACCGCUUGGGUGGUCUAGAUCGAACCCUAGCCCCACUGGGAUGUUUAAUAGAACCUGAAUGUCCUACUCCUUGGGUAUGGAUUGAUACAUUUUUGUCCCCAUUCCACUAACCAAACUCUUGUCCUUUUUUUUUUUUUUUGACAGGGACAUGCUGAAUUGGACAAACUUAACUUUAUCGCUUUGGAAGUCUCUGAAAGAAAUUACCUAAAGUGGGUCCAAGAUUGGAAGCUCCAACUCGCCACUAAAAACCUUAGAGCUACCAUAAAAGCUGAGACGGAUGUUCCAGUUGGUGAAGCUGACAAAGCCACCACCUUGACUUCAUACGAAGGCAUAUGCAUGACGUAUUGCAAACCGAAUACCUCGAUGAGAAGGAUCUACGAAGAUUUAUGGAUCGCUUUUAAAUUUUGUGAAUUUGGAUAUUUAAUCAAGUUGAUGUUGAAAUGUUACCUACUGAAGUUAACAUGAAUUUUACUUUUUGAGUACAUGGACUGCUGAUAUGGAAGGUAUGGAAUAAAUAUCUGGAUUAUCCUCUAAAUCAGGAUUAGUUUUGUCUUAGAUAUGCAUAUAGUCAUUGUCAAUUGUUGAAUUUAAACUUACAACUAUAUCGAUCAGUGAUUAAUGCUUAAUAUUUUCAAAUUUUAAAUUUAUCAUAGAUAUUUCUACGAACAAUGACAUUACUAGUACUGUUGCUGCUUAUUUUAUCUGACAAAGGGAAGAGGGCCGGCGGCAAGGGUAGAGAGAGAGACGAGAGAUGUGUUUGUAAAAUUGUAGAGGAAUUGUGUAUUAAGGAUGUUGCUAUCCCCCCUACGUAGUGCCUUUAUUUAUAGUCGUAAAAGGAGAGAAGAAAUCAUUCAUCCCCAAGGAAAACAAGUCCAAAUAAGAAAGAAUAACUAGAAUCAAAUAUAAUCUAGGAUUUACACAAUCAUACUUAAACUAAGGAAGUUCACAACACUCCAUCUUGAGUGUGUAAAUAGUCAAGGUAGAUCAAGCAUCAUGCAGAAGUUAAGGAAGUCGACUCGUCGACACUAAUUCUAAGGAACAACACUUAUUCUCAAUGAGGUAGGAACUUGCAUAAAGUAGUAAGUCUCACUAAAAAACCCUAAGGCUAUGGCAAAAACCCGAGUAGGGACAAAAUCCAUAGUCUAAGGAAAAAUGAGUGAGAAAUGCAAAGUCAAAAGAAACGUCUACAGGACAUCGUCAGGGAUAUGAUAAACCCAAGGUGGGUACCUCAAUAAAACCUAGUUAGGUAGCAAAACCCCAAUGGGAAAAAUGCUACUAAUUGUAGGGAAAAAGAAGUACAUUAAGAUCAAGCAAGUAUGCUUCCAGAUAUUCCCCCUGAGUUUGACACAAUUCCAAAGAGAAAUAGCAAUGUUACAACUCAGAAAGUUUAUGUUUAUCAAUUCCUUGAACAUACUUCUGAAAUGUCGCCUUCAAUAGUGAAGAGGUCGGCCAGAUUGUCUUGUGAAUAGAUUUGUGUGACUUCAAUCUUUUGAUACUCUUGUUGUUGAUGUGAAAAGAAGAACUUCGGCGCAAUGUGCUUGGUGUUGUCUUUUUUUAUGUAACCCUUCUUGAGCUGUUCGAUGCAUGCUGCUUUGUCUUCAAAGAUCGUCGUAUGGAAAUCUACGGUGGGGUAGAGAUCGCAGAAGCUUCGAAUAUGGCCCAUAACUGCUCUCAACCAAAAGCAUUCCCAAGUUACUUCAUGUAAGGCGAGAAUUUCAGCAUGGUUAGACGAAGUGGCAACUAAAGUCUAUUUAGUUGACCUCCAAGAGAUUGUGAUGCCUCAAACGGUAAAGACAUAACCUGUUUGAGAACGUACCUUGUGUGGAUCAGAUAAGUAUCCUGCAUGGGCAUAACCAACAAGGCGAGAAUCAACUCAAGAGGCAAAGGAUACAACAUCACUCGAGGAUCCAUAGGGAUAGAACAAGCCCAAAUCUCUAGUACCCGUAAGGUAACAGAAGAUGUCUUUCACACCAGUCCAGUGUCUGCAUGUUGGUGCAUUACUGUAUCUUACCAAAAGAUUAACAGCAAAUGAGAUGUUAGGUCUGGUGCAUUGAGCUAAGUAUAAUAAAGUUCCUAUCGCACUUAGAUAAGGAACUUCAGGCUCCAAAAUCUCUUCAUCAUCCUUAUUUGAACGAAAAUGAUCUCAUUUUGCAUCUAGCGAUUAAACAACCAUACGAGUACUCGAAGGCUUCAUUUUAUCCUCGUUAAAGCGGCGCAACACCUUUUGGUGUAGUUCGUUUGAUGUACUAGGAUUCCAUUUGAACGGUGUUCUAUCUUGAUAUCUUUGAUCUCAAAUUCCGACUUCAGGUGCAUGGCAGUUCUGACGAGCUCUUCAAGAGUUCCGAUAAGGUUCAUGUCAUCGACAUAUAAUGCAACUAUCACAAAACCAAAAUGUGACUUCUUAAUGAACACAUAAGGGCACAAUUCGUUGUUUACAUAUCCUUGACUAGUCAAAUACUCACUAAGAUGGUUACACCACAUUCUUUCGGAUUGUUUCAAAUCAUAAAGUGAACGCCUCAACCGAAUUGAGAGCGUGUUCCGGGGCUUGGAAAUAUUUGAUCUAGUCAAUGUAAGUCCUUCGAAAACUUUCAUAUAGAUUUCCGUAUCAAGAUCCUUAUAGAGAUAUGCAGUUACUACGUCCAUCAACUGCCAAACUAAUAAGGUAGCGAAAAGUAAUCACAUCCAUAACAAGUGAAUAAAUUUUGUCAUAGUCAAUUCCAGGGCGCUGUGAGAAGUGUUGUGUAACAAGAUGAGCUUUGCAACACAUAAUUUUGUUCUUCUCAAUACGCUUCCGAACAAAAACCCACUUAUAGCCAACAAGCUUCACAUGUGGAGGAGUAAGAGCUGCAGGUCCAAACAUCUUAUGUUUCGCAAGCGAAUCGAGUUCGACUUGGAUUGCUUGUUUCCAGUUUGACCAAUCAGUUCUACGUCGACAUUCAUCAACGGAACGAUGUUCAAUGUCAUUGCUCAACAUGAUAUCAGUAGCUACUGCAUAUGUUAAAGCAUUGUCAACAAUCAUCUCAUUUCUACACCACACAUCAUCUAAGCUAGCAUGAUAGACCAAAAUCUCACGAUUCUCGAAAGGAGGAUUCGUCUAUUUAAGGACGCUUCCGUAAUCUAGAAUUUCCUCAUGAGUUGGAUAAAAUGAGUAGGCGACAAUUGGAUUCAUGGUAGGCUCUUCAGAAGCCUAUGUUGUGGGUUUCCUCUUUCGAGGGUGUGAAUCCUUUGAAGUAAGAGGUCUGCCACACUUUUGUGUAAGGGCAGAUGAUUAGCUAGCCAUUAAUGUAUGUGGAUCACCAAGAUUGAUGUCCCGGGCCUCCAGGAAGGAAGUCCUUCGUACAUUUGGUACAUCCAUCUUUGCAGGCACAUUCGCAGUUAGAAUAUGUGAUAUUGUCACUCGCGCUAGAUCUGUGAGAGCAUCUAGCAUGCUCUAAAGAUCUAAUAUACGCUGCACUUCAGUUUCAGACUGAGCAGUGUGGGGAUCUAAAUGAGACAAAGUGGGAGUCAUCCAUGAUAAUUUGCGUCGUUCUUCAGGAACGUUGACGUUCUUAUCUCCCCCUAAUGGCGGGAAGACUGUCUCAUAGAAGUGACAAUCCGUGAAACAAGCGGUAAAUAAAUCGCCUGUCAAAGGUUCUAAGUAAUGAAUAAUCGAAGGAGAAUCGUAUCCAACAUAGAUUCUCAUCCUUCGCUAAAGUCUCAUUUUUGUACGUAAGGGCGGCAAAAUCGGCACAUAGACCGCACAACCAAAAGUGCGCAGAUGCGAUAUGUCAGGUUCGUAUCCUAUAACCAACUGAAUGAUGUUAUAUGGUUGGGUCGCAAUAGGCCUUAAGCGAACCAACAUGGCUGCAUGCAAUAUUGUAUGGCCUUAAGCAACGAUCGGAAGCUUGGUAUGUAUAACCAACGAUCGAGCACUCAUUUGUAAGCUCUUAAUGAAUGCCUUUGCCAGGUCAUUCUGAGUGUGAACAUGGGGUACUGGAUGUUCAACUUCAACCCCAACCGACAUGCAAUAGUCAUCAAAAGUUUUAUAUGUGAAUUCUCCAGCAUUAUCCAAUCGAAUAGAUUUGAUCGGAUAAUCAGGGUGGUGAGCCCUGAGCUUGAUAAUCUUUGCCAACAGUUUGGAGAAUGCAGCAUUCCUUGCGGACAACAAGCACACGUGUGACCAACGUAUGGAAGCGUCAACCAAAACCAUAAAAUAUCUAAAUGGUCCACAUAGUGGGUGAAUAGGUCCACAAAUGUCCCCGUGAAUCCGUUGUAGAAAAAUGGGAGGAUUCGAACGAAUCUUGUCAUAAGAAGGCUUAGUAAUAAGCUUUCCCAUAGAACAUGUUUGACAUGCGAUUCCUUGAAUUGAACCUAAACUUCGGGUUAGUGGAUGCCCGUGUGAUGAUUUGAGGAUACGACGUUUUGUUAUUCAUCCAAGAUGUCCCAAACGAUCAUGCCAAAGUGUAAUUUCAUGCGCGAUCCCAAAGGUAGGGUUAGCCACAUAGUGGCAUUCUAUAGGGCGUAUGGUCAUAUUGUUGGAAAUGUGCCCUAAAGCCAAUCAUAUGAUGAUACUUUACGGACAUUUCACAUGUUAAACUAAUCUAGUUUAAUAUAAAAGGCAAAUAUUAUUGUUUAAAGUCACCUCAUAUAAAUGUUAUAUGCUUAAACGAUAAGUCGAAGGAAUAUGUAAUUGGGAGAAUGUGAUCUAAAGAAGUUAGAUUCAUGAGACCAUUCUCUUUUGUAUACACACCUUAAAUGUUCCUUAUCAUAGGAUUGCCAAUUGGGCAUUGACAGUCCGUUAAGAUCAGUAUGUGCUAUGUCUUCUCUUAGGGAUAGUGAAUGGUCUCGAGUCAUUGGUGUGAUUGACAUCAAGACAAGCAUGUAGGUGCUCAAUGGAGAAUGAGUCCAGUGAACACGAUCAACAAGGAGUUCUCAUACUCAUGUCACAUGAGAACUCAUGGUUGGGAUAAUGCAAAGUAGUCUUUUGACUUGAGGCAUCAUAGUUGUCUUGUGGUUAAGUCCUUGAUCUUUGAACUAUAUCAAAGUCAUUCCGUCAGAGGGUGUCCACGACAUAGUUGGGGUCAAGCCACUUAGCAAUGGUGGCAAGUGAAUGCGCAACAAGGGAUCUCUAACCUUCAAAUCGUUUGAGGGAGAAUACUUUAUCAUAUAAUUAAGAAUCUCUAGCCGGAGUAUGAAUGAGAUUUGGGAAGUCGUUCUAAAUCACGUUCAAGGUAAUCAUAUAAGUAAGAGAAUCACAUUGGAUAGUAGACGUGAAUAAACUAUCAAACCAAAAAAUGUGGUCAAGAGUGUUGUAUUAGAGAAAGACCGUAUUGUAUUGUAAUCCUAAAGUGAAUAGGUUCUCCACCUCUUCUGAUUAGCUUGGGUAGCCAUGACAUACUGCUACGUGUCACUUAUGGUUUGUGGAAGCCCUAAAGGUGUAUAAUCACUAAAGGGAGAAUUGAAAAUAAGUUUCAAUUCAUAAUUAAAUGGUUUAAUUAUUUAUGGCUAGGAUUAAUUAAUAUGUUAAUUAAUCAAACGAAUAUGUUCAUUAUAGACCCCGAGUUAGUUUUGGGCCGCAAUGCUUAAUAGGAUUUGAAUGUCAAGCCCAUUAACUCAAGUUGUAUGACAACUUGAAAACACAAAGGGCUUGAAAGCCCAAUGAACCUUUAAGGCCGGGCACAUUAGAGGAUGAAGGGUUUUGGUUCUUUUGUCACUUAAUUGAAAAGACUAUAUAAAGAACUUUAUAGCAUUUCAUCAUUAAGGUUUCUUUUGGAGAAAAGAUGAGAACACAAAAGAUCUCUUUUCUCUCUAAGAGGCCAGCCACCCUAGAGGAACAUAGCUAGCAAUCUUCCUUCCUCUAGGUCACUCAUCUCUUCAUCAAUGCUCUCCUUGGUGUUGAGACUUAGAGGUUCUCUAUUUUGGAAACUUGGAGAAUCCAUUCAUCCAUCCUCCUCCACGAAAUCCAUAGAGCUAAGAAGAAAGGAAUGAAGGCCCUCUCUCUUGGGUGAUUAUCCUUUGCUUAUGUAAAGAGGAAUCAACAAAGGUAUAAAUUUCUCAACUCACUUGUUCUUGAGUUGAGUCUUGGUUCACCAUAAUUACUAGGCGUUGAAUUUUAUGGGUAAAGUUUUGUUUUUGAGUGCAUACAAGCAUGAUUCCACCUUUUAAUUGUUAAUUGCAUGCAUAGAUGUUGCUCAAAUAAACUAGUUUUCACAAAUAUUUCCUUCACGUAUUAUACAAACCACACAGGAUACGCUCCAUCUUCUUUAGAAUACACUUUUGGCCAUAUUCAUAGGAUUAUGCACAAAAAUUCAACUCCGUUUUCUACAUGGGUUUCAGUGUGGUAAUUGUUAUCUCUAAUGUCUUUAAAGCUCAACAACGUUCUUCCGGAACGUGGAGAAUAAAGAGCAUCAUCAAUGGUCAAGAUUGUACCACUGGACAACAUUAUGCGUGCCUUACCGUAUCCUUCAAUCAGGUUGGAUGGGCCUGAGAAGGUUGUCAGAGGUACAUUCUUAAGUAUGAAGUUAGUGAAAUAGGUGAGUUCAUGCAAAACGGUGUGCAUGGUUACACUAUCUGCCAGAUAACUAACUUCCCCACUACUCAUACCUAGAAUGAAAAAUUAAUUUGAAUCAGUCACAUGCAUAAAAGUUCUAGAAAACAAAUAUCCAUUCAAGAUAAUUUUAAGUAUUCAAGGACAUAAAUUAAUUAAAACUUAAUAUCCAAAAAACAAAUCACCAACAAAUGAUCCAAACAUAAAGGAACAUUGUUCAAAAUUGAAUAAAAAACAAGAGGGGGGUUUCGACCACUACUGUGGAAUUUGGCCCCAUGGUCUUAUUUCUACUAAAAACUAAGUCUAUGUCUAAGAUUCUAAUCUUCCAUAGGUGUGAUAGCCUCUUGAAAGUCAGAAACAUUCAUCUUUGUACUCUUCAGAUCGUUCACUUGCACAAAGUUUGAUUCAAACUUCUUACGAAGAGAAUGAUAUUCAGCUACAACCUUUUGGGGAGCUCGGAAAACACGGGACCAAUGGUCAUUUGAACCACAGCGAUAACACAUAUCUGCAUCCAUGGUUUCAGGUGCUUUGCUCGUAUUCUUAAAGUUUGGGGCCUUAGGAGCGAGGUUUGGGCCCUUCUGGGCUUUGUUUCCUCCCUUGGAUGGGCCUUGACUCUGUUGACCUUGUUGGGAUGACUUUUGACCGCCCCUACCAAGCCUUUUUGGUGUUUCGGGUGUUGGUUUAUGCUAUAGUGUGUUUCAGGUACCGCAGUCGCCCUAGUAGGUCGAGCUUGAUGAUUAUUCAUCAACAACUGGUUCUGUUUUUCAGAGAGAAGUAAAACAAAGAACAAAUCCGAGAACUUAGUGAACUUUUGAGCUCUAUAUUGUUGCUACAAGACAAUAUUAGUAGCAGAGAAGGUCGAAUAAGUCUUUUCCAGGAGAUCUUCUUCGGUCAAAGUUUCAUUACAAAACUUGAGAAGUGAUCAGAUUCAACAAACUUCAUAAUUAUAUUCAUUCAUAAACUUAAAGACUUGGAAACACAAAUGUUACCAGUCAUAUCUUGCUUCAGGUAAAAAAUGUCUUUUUGGUGAUUAAAACGAUCAGCCAAAGCGACCCAUACUGCUCGUGGAUCAUCCUCAACGAGAUAUUCAGUUUGCAAGGCGUCGUGGAUAUAUCUUCAGAUGACGAUCAUAGCGGUGGCUUUCUCAACUUCAUCAACAGGGUUGUCCGUCUCAUCUUCAAUGGCGGGAUGUAAAUUCUUUGCAAUAAGGUGGAGCUUCACAUCUUUGACCCACUUGAGAUAGUUCAUUCCAGAGACCUCCAAAUCGGUAAAGUCAAGUUUGUUCAAAUUUGACAUGUUCCUAUCACAAAAUAAAGGACAAGAUGUGAUUAGUGCAAUGGAGAAAAAAAAAUCAAUUCAUUCACGUAGGAGUAGAAUAUUCAUGUUCUAAUAGACAUGUAUUAGUUAAUAUUCGCAUGAAAAAACUUCAAGUUUUCAUGGGUGAUGUUUUUAAGUGAAAAACUUCAGGUUUUCAAACAAGGCAUGUUUAUAGAAACUUCAUGUUUCGAAAUAAUUAUGAACUUCAAGUUCAUAUGUUCCUGCAGAUAAACACAAAUAUAUACACAAAAAUAUGCAACAAGAAAAUAUGCAAAUAAAACUUCAGGUCUAAAAUUAUAAUUGAAUUAAUUAUUUGAACUUCGGGCCAAAUUAAAAGUGUGGGUGAAAAUAUAAAACCCAUUGGGCCUAAAAAUAAUUAGGCAAUUAAACUCGGGGCCCAAAAUAAGGCCUAAGCCCACAGUUGGGUUAAAUAAAUGGGGGUCGUGCAUCCUAGGCCCAAAGCUGGGUGAGUUUGGCCUCAGGUGGGCUACAAGCCUAAGGGGAGAGAGGGAAAAAGGGACGGGCUAAAGUAUCAGACUGCUUCAGGCGAGUCCAAUAAUUUUUUUUUUUCGCGGGCCGAUCAAACGGUUUUGGGCCAAUACAGGUGAGCCACAAAAAAGGAAAAAAGAGAGAGGAGGCCGAGUAACAAAGCCCAAAUAGGGCUCGGGUUAGGUCCAAAGACUCCCCAACCACAGUUGGGUGUGUUCGCAGGGGAAGUAGGUCGGCGCCGCCGCUUCAGGCAGUCGUGCUUUGGGAUAGUGAUGCUCGGAGUGAGUCUGUGGAGUCAAGGGAGACCACAAAUAUGAACGGAGAUUUGAAAAAUCUCGAUGUUCUACCAAAACCCUAGAAAUACAAAUAAGAAAAUUGGAAAUUUUCUAACGAGAUUCAAGAGAAUCUAAGUCAAUUUGUGUCAGGGACAAACUGCAGGUCAUCAAAACACGAUGAUCCAUGGGUGAGGAUUAGCUGCAGGCCAACCUGUAACGAUGGAGGUGCCAUGGAAGGUGUCGAUGUUUCUGGGUUUCAAGCCUGGAGCCCUCAACUCCAGGUUGGGGACUCGUGGCUCGACUCGGCCACCCAAGCUACAGGCUUGGUUCAAUGGCUCGAGGUCAUGGGUUCGAAUAACCCAGGCCAUGUUUCCGAUUUCUCUCUCUUUUUUUCCCCUUUUUUUUUUCAAUUCAAUUCAAUUUUAUGCAUAUUGAAUUCAAUAAUAUAAUGCAUGUACAUAUAUAUGAUGCAAUUCAUGGCAAAUAUCAAAUUCACAUAAUUCAACAAUUAUGAGUAUAAUGCAUACACAAUUUAUGUAAAAUCUAAAAUUCGAAAAAUGUAAAGUUUGGUCAUGUAUUAUGGUGAAUGUUCAUGCUAUUAGGGCUGCAAAAAUAUCGAGAUAAAAACCAUUGUUUUGAAAGAACCUAAAUGUGUGAUGAUAUGGAUGAAUUGGUUUGAUGCAGAAAAAUCUUCAACGUCAAAUUCUUAAGCGCAGCGGUAGGAUCGUGCUGAUAACGUGUUGUAGCCUAUUUUAUCUGACAAGGGGAAGGGGGUUGGCGGCAAGGGUAGAGAGAGAGGAGAGAUAUGUUUGUAGAAUCGUAGGGGAAUUGUGUAUUGAGGAUGUUGUUAUCCCCUCUACGUAAUGCCUUUAUUUAUAAUAGUAAAAGGAGAGAAGAAAUCAUCCAUCCCCAAGAAAUAAAAGUCCAUAUAGGAAAGAAUAACUAGAAUCAAAUCUAAUCUAAGAUUUACACAAUCACACUUAAACUAGGAAAGUUUGUAGCAAGUACUUAUAUGUUAUAAAAUGAGUAAAUUAAUGCCUCUUAGUGCUACGGUCUGGUGGUAUUCCUCUUCACUUAUAAGUGAGAGAUCUUAGGUUUGAUUCUUGCCAAAGGCGAUUUUGAACCACAUUAUUGCUAGCUCAUUGUGAGGCUAGGCCUACCCCUCCCCCUUAGUGUAGAUGAUGAUAUCGUUUGUUCAAAAACAAAACAAAAAAAAACAAAUGUUAGCAUGUAAUUUGCUUGAAACGAGAGCAUGGGAGUUCGUCUUUGUAUAGUAAAAUCUCUCUAAAGUAAUACUUUAUAAUGAAAUAACCUCCUUAAAGUCAUAAAAAGUUAUCAUCCCAACUUGGGAUCAAUUUUGUAUUGAAAUAAACUUCAUAUUGUAUAAGUUAUAAUUUUUCUUGGUCUCAUCUAAGUAAAACGCCUCCACAUAAUUACAAUUGUCAAUGAGUACAAAAUAUGGAAGAAAAAAAAAAUACUUGGCACCCAGGGAAUCCUAUUUAAGAAUAAAGCAUUCAUUAAGGAUAAAUAAGUCAAUAAAUAAUAGUUCAAUUAUGUAUUGAAAUAAACUCCAAAUUGUAAAAAGUUAUCACUUUUCUUGGUCUGAUCUUAUAGAAACAUGCCCACAUAUAGUUAUAAUUAACAAUGAGUACAAAAUGUGCAAGAAAUUAAAUAUUUGGCGCUCAAGGAAUCCUACUUAGGAAAUGCAACAUUCUUUAAAGAUAAAUAAGUCAAUAACUAAUAUUUUUUUAAUUAUUUCUCUAUUAUGUAAUAACAUCUCUAAAAUUAUAAAAUUGGUUUGAUCCCAACUGUUUUAGUUUGGUGGAGUUUUACUGUAUUGAAAACCCUAGGAGGUGUCUGGCUCUAGCGAGUAGCAUAAGAAGUUGUCAAGUUGUUUGGGUGAUGUUCGACCAUUUAUUUAUGAUCAUUAGGAAGAUAAACGAUUUAGAAAUUGGAAUGGUGGUCGGCGGAUGCAAUGUUUGCUUUAUAUGUCCAAGGAAUUGUUAUUAGGGGACAUUUGGCAUUCUGUUUGAAUACAACUAUUUCAACUCAAAGUUAGAGUUCACAUUAAUACUUACUUAAUUAAAAAUUAUCAGCAAAAUUUAUUAACAAAAUAUAAUUUAAAUAGAAGGACCCGUAACAUUAUCCUUUAUUUUAAUUUAAUCAUUGGAUAUGCUUUGACGCGGCUGAAACUCCUUACCAGCAAAAUUAACAUCAACCAAAAUGGCGUUUUCUAAUAAGCCACGUCAGCUUCUUAGCCUUCUCUCUCACAUCGCCGACUUUGAAACGACAAUAUUAUCACCGUCGUAUGCAUCGCACGACUCGAUAAAAUCCCUAAGAAUGUCGUACAGAGCUUGGGCCUUGCUAGGGUCGAAGAGCUCCACGCCAUGAAAACCCCCCUCGUCAAACUUGGCCACCACGUGCGCCCCACGUGACUCAAGUAACGCCACAAACUCCUUCUGCCUAUCCAUCAGCGGGUCCCCCCCGUACCCUCUUACCAAACACCUCGGCAACCGUUCGAUCCUCCCAUCCCCACCUCCCGCCGUCGGAUUACAAUACUCGUGAUCCCGAUCAACACCCUUUGGCAAAGCCAUGCCCCACAUCAAGUCGUUGGCGACCAGCGGCAAUAUCCGGUCGUUGAUCAACCUCGUCUCGGAUUCAGUCCUAUGGACCCCGCCGAAAUAAGGCUGGUUUAGAAUCAGCCCUCGGAUCUUCAUCGGCAAGAGAUCAUCACCCGAGACGCGUAAACCCGCGUGGUAGGCGAUGUUAGCUCCGGCGCUGCUGCCCAUUAGGAAGGACCUGGAGAAGUCAACGGCGUCUUUCAACCAGGGAUCGCAGCCGUCGACGUCGGAGGCCUGGCGGUGGACCCAGGUGAUGGUGUCGACGGCGUCAUCGUAGGCUGAAGGAAGAGGAUGUUCGGGAGCCAAGCGGUACUCGACGGAGACAAUUAGGGCUUGGAGAGCCAGGGCCAUGCGAGAGCAGGAGUCGUGGAAUGGUUUGGAGGCGGCGGAGAAGAGGACGAAGCCGCCUCCGUGGAAGUAGAUGAUGAGAGGGAGGCGGGGGUUUGGGGGGAGAGGGUGGGGUUUGAAGAGCCUGAAGAAGGUUUUUGUUUCUGGGUUUAAGGGAAUGUCCUUGGAGAGGACGAGUUGGGGAGAGUUGGAGUCUGACUCGGCGGCCGUGGCGGAAAUGGACUCGGUGGGGGUGGGAGUUGGGGAGACGGUGGGGAAAGGGGUGAAGCGGGUGAGGGAGCCAUCAGGGUUGGGGAGGAUUUUGAGGAGUUUGUAGGGGUCAAUGGAGGUUGGGGAUGAAGAAGGUUGAUACGCCAUGGAUGUUGUUGAAACUCGCAGAUGAAGCGUUUGUGCAAAUGCUUAGCUGAAAGAAGAGGGUUUAUAAGUUUAUAUGUGGAAGACAAUGAGUGACGAGUGACGAGGUAAUAGUGGGAAAAAUGGUUAGGUGUUUGGUGAAGAAAAUUAAAGUGAAGACUUGGGGACUACCUGUUUUAGUUGCAUGCUAUUGAAUUCUCGACCUAAAAGUGAACUGAUUAAUUGAUUGGGAUUCAGUUGGGUUUGCACGCGGGUGGGGAUAUGUGUGUUAACAUCCAAAUUUCACAAGUAAGGAGUGAGGUGCUUAAAAAAAAAAAGCACCCAUAAAAAAAAAGUUGUGAAAGUUUUAGGUGUUUGGUAAACUGAAAAAAAAAAUACUUAUUUUGGAAGCUGCUGUGAGAAUAAGCUGAAAUCAAAGGAAAAAGCUGAAGCUGUUAUUUGUAGUUUUGGAAAACUGGCUUUUUUUCAAAGCACACGGAGCUACAAUGCUCCUUUAAUGAAAAGACUCACUAUCAGACUGCUUUUUUUUUCCAAAAGCACUUUUACAAAAAAGUUUACCAAACACUCUGCUGAUUUAUUUCACAGCCGCUUAUUCUCACAGCACAGCCGCUUAUUCUCACAACAGUUUUUUUUUAAAGCACAGCAAUACCAAACCAGCCCUUAGUAUUACGAUCUCGUGAUAUUUCUCUUUAUUUUUAAAUAAAAAAUUUUAGGUUCGAUUAUCGCAAAAAACAAAUUUGAACCAUAUUAUUACUAGUCCGUUGUGAAACUUAAUUCACCCACUCCUUAGUGUAGGUAUAUCGUUCGUUCGAAAAAAAAAAAAAAAAAAGAUCCCACAAAGGUUAACAUGCGGCUUGUAAUCAGUAUCGGAAGGAGAGGGGGGAGUGGGGUAGGGUGGAAUGAGAAGCUUCACCCACUCUUCUUAGUGUACAUAUAUUGUUUGUUCGAGAUAAAAAAAAACAGAUCUCACAAAGAUUAACAUGCGGCUUGUAAUCAGUAGCGGAAGGAGAACAUGACCCCAACAACUUUAUAUUAUUACUCCACACAAUUUUGCUAUUAAUCCCCAUAUACCCCAAUAAGAAUUUCCAAUAAUUAGGUUCAGUUUAAGUUUAUGUCUGCAUGCCUUUGAUUUCUGUCAUUUAUCAAAACACACAUUUUUUUUUUGAAAGAUAUCAAAACACUAUUAAUCAAUAAUAUUUCGUAGUGAGUUCAAUCAAUUUGAUUUUCAAAUUAUUAUCAUAGUUUAAUGAUUGAAUUAUUAUUUAAACGUUGAUUAAUGUGCUUAUUUUCUAUUGGUGGCAGAUCAUUUGAUUUUCAAAUUUGUUAUAAUGAAAGUAAGACAAAAUACAUGGAAAAGAAACGGUCGACUUAGUCUUUUAAAAAAAAAAAUUUAUUAUCAUAGUGUUUGGCCCCAAAAUAUUAUUUUGGGCUGAGCCUGGGAUUAUUCUCGGCCCAGUAGAGUUUAUCUAGAAUUUUCUUGUGGGCCGUCCAGUUAAGGUCGGCCAAAUCUUGUUGCGAGGAGGAUUAGUUUAGAUAAGGGUGAAGUAGUCGACUCCUAGUGCAGCAACGAGUCUUAAAGCUAAUCAGGAGAUGAAUCUGAUUUGUUAUGGAGUUUGGUUCAAAGUCAUAUUGGAGCUAGGACUGGCCGAAACCUAAUUAGAUAGGGUUGAGGAGUUCUAAUCCGAGUACAUUUCUAGUUCAGUUACGAGGGGGUUUUGCUGCUAUAAAUAGAGAAAGAAGUGCAUCAUUCAAAACCCUCUCCAAUUCAACACAUAAAAUUGCCCUGCACAAAGUUUCUCAACAACCUUGAGAUUUUAUCUUCUUCCCCUUUCUUCCUGCCAACACAUCUUCAGUUUGGAUAAACAACACUGUGAAGGUAACCGGCGACAUCUUUAGUUUGGAUAAACAACACUGGAGUCAUAGAAUCAACCGAUAAAGGAGCACCUUCAUAUUGGUUAGACAUCACUGCUUUAAGGCCGACUGGUUAUUAUCCAAGUCUCGGUUGACAAGGAUUCUUAAGUCCUUGAUGGUAGAGGUCAUCUAUUAGGCUUGGCACAUUGAACGCCAAGUUUGUUUUAUGAUUGGGUACUCACAGGUACAUUUUAGAGUUCGGCAUUCUGACGACCGAACCACGUUUACCAUCAAGACAUUUAUCUCAUUCGAGUAUUUGUGUCUGUAUAGUCUGGUGCCAGUUCAGCGUGUUUAUACUCUUACAAAUAUAAUCACCAUAAUCGAACCCAGCGUCGACGAUCCGUGAACUUCGUAAGACUAGCAGCCUUAUCUUCAAGCUCUAGAACUCAAAGGCCGAGACGUGUUCCUUUCUCGACUGCAAUCGCAAGAUCGAGAAGUCAGGAGUGCUCUCAAUUUAACAUCAGCAUAUUUUACUCUCCGGUCGAGCUCGGUCGUCGAGUUGGCAUGCCCCGCACAUAACUGAAAGACGUAAUUAGCUCAUUAGUUACUCGGCCUGCGCGCCACGUAGGCUUGGUAGUUUUUAGGGUCAACACAUAAGAAGAGCAGAAUUUUGAACCCAUAAAACAUAGGCGUAAACCCUACACCCUAGCCACUAGGAUAUUAGACCAUAUGCACAAUCGACUCAGUCCCACAUCAAAUGAAGUCCACCGAGGUCAAGCUUCUUAAAAGUUAACUCUGAUGGGUCUAUAGUUGGUGAAAAGACUAUUGCAAAGGUUUGUUAUCAGGGUUUCUUUUCAAUCAAUCUCUUGGAAACAUAUCUUUGGAGAGACCAAUUUCCUUGCAGAUUUUGUCACUAGUGUGGGACUCAAUAUUAGUGAUACUUAUAUACGAGAUCAUACCUCCCUACAAAUGCUAGGCAUGCUCUUAUAUUUGAUCUUUUUGGAACUGGUUGUACUCAACAAUUUUCUGAAGAAAAGAUGCACGGGCCACUAUUUCUCUUAUAUACGCUACGCUAUUUGAAGAUAAUGAUUUGAAUGCCUAUCCCCUACCUAUGCACUUUCCUUUACUACCUUGAAGUGGAUCUCCUAUCUAUAUUCGACAGCUUGAAGAGGGAAGAAGAAGUAAAGCGAAUGCUCGUUCUGUUGGAACUCUCGAUCUGAUCUUGAAACAGGGGAAGGGAGAUCGAUCUCAAUCUCUCGAAUCCUUCUCUCCUUCCCAACGUUAUUUGUCCAAGGGGAAAAGGCUUGCAAACAGUAUUUUUUUGAAAAAAAAAACACUAUGUUUCUUCCUUUGUUACUAUAAUGAAAAUUAUAGUUUGUCAACCAAAACGUAAUUAUAAUUUUAAUUUUGCACGUUAGCGGAAUACAUGUGGCAUGAAAAAAAGUUAGACUGUUAAAAUGAGAAUGUAACUGAGGAUUGAAAGCACUUUAUAGAAAGAAAAUGAAUGAUUAUGCGAUAUUUACUCGUUGCUAGGCCCGAAUUAAACUAGCAUAAUUUCUCCUUUAAAGAAUUGGGCCUCCAUCCUCCCCAGUCUAUGGUACCCCAACUCAAUAAGAAAACAUUAAGAUGUGUUGGACCAAGGUGAUGAAACCCAAAGAUGCCAACCACCAACCAUACGUCUAAUAACGAAGGAAGCUUAAAACAUCUUACAACAUCAUUACUAUUUAAGUCCCCCAAAAUAGGGAUCAUUCAGUAUUAAGGUCUAAUGGUAUUUCUCUUCAUUUGUAAGUGAAAGGUCUUACGUUCGAACCUCGUAAAUGACAAAUUCGAUACCAAAUUAUGUUACCCAUUACGUGGCUUAGCCAAUCUCCUCCCUACCAUAGUGUAAAAUAUAUUGUUGUACUUAUAAAAACAAAAAAGGCCCCCAAAACAGAGAUUUUCGUAUAUGUUAUACACCAAGAUUUUUGUGUAAUUAAAUUAUUGGUCAAAGAUCAAUACUUAAAGAUCCAAUGCUUAGGAUCUAAUGUUAAAAAGACCCAUAGUGUAUUUUUACUCACACCUCUAAAGUAAGGGUUAUGCUCACUCCAUUUUGCUGUUAGAUUAGUUUAAAUUUCAAGAUUCAUGUCCCAAAUCAAUUAAAACAAACUAAUCUAACGGCAAUCCAUGAAGUGUGUUGAUGCACAAAAUCAGUGAUGACUUUGGAACAAUGUAAAGUGUCAAGUUUGUGACCUUCGCUCAGUUGCUCCGGUCACCUAGUAAGGAUAAUAUGUAAAGAGAUAGCGAAAGGGAAGCAAACACAAGAUGUACGUGGUUCACCAUAAAUUUGACUACAUCCAUGAAGUAGAGGAGUUCUCAUUAAUAGUGAAGGGUUUACACAAAUACAUAUGUUCAAGCAUAAUCAUCAUUAGUGAGCUCUAACGACUAGUUUAAGUACAAUAUUGACAUUAGAGAUUCAUUGUAGGAGAAUUGUUUUCUUUUAUAGUUCAGGAGAGUCUUCAACUUUUGUCCGCAGUCGAUGUGGGACUCGAUGAGCUUUAUUCUGAUGUUGACAUGUGUCAUGCUGUGAUUGACCUCCUGGUUGGAGGGAAACUCUUGUGCUUCGGCCGGGGUGCCUCAGUGGAUCCUUGAAACUAUGAAGUAGAUCGAUGCUUGGUAAUUUCGGGAUUGGUCAAGUAUGGUACAAACAGUGGUCCCCUAAGUUCUCGUGUGAGGAAAGCUUUUUGGUUGGGGACUUGAAAAAUCCAAGUCACUAAGUAAUCACGAAACUUCUGAGUACCGAAGUGUAGUAGCAUAUAGUGGGAGUCCCCCAAGUAUCCAAGUGAAGAGGAUAAUCGAAGGAGGUGGCUUGAUAUUCUUGAGUCAUUAGAAAAAAGACUUCAAAAAUUCUAUCCUCAUUUUUUUUUUUAUGAACUUAGCUCAAGUAUAUAUAUUUUUUCUUAAGCCCAAUUCCUUCUUUCUUUUGGUGAGAAAAGAAAAUGUGGUUGAAACCUUUUCCUUUGUGUACAUACCUUGAAUGGUUGAAGUUUUUGCCUUUGGGCACAUAGCUUGAGUGGUUGAAGCUUUGUAGGUGAAACUUUUUUGUUGAAACUUUGUAGGUGAAGCUUUUUCCUUUGGGCACAUAGAUUAAGUGGUUGAAACUUUGUAGGUGAAGCUUUUUGGUUGAACUUUGUGGGUGAAGCUUUGUAGGUGAAUUUUUUUGGUUGAAGCUCUAUAGGUGAAGCCUUUUGGUUGAAGCUUUGUAGGUGAAGCUUUUUGGUUGAAGCUUUGUAGGUGAAACUUUUUGGUUGAGGCUUUGUAGGUGAAACUUUUUGGUUAAAGCUUUUUUUAACCACAUAAAAAGAUUUUGCUUCCACAUUCUUUAGCAAAAGUGUGGAAGGCUUUUUGAAUUUUUUGUUGAAGCUUUCGGUUGAAGAUUUUGGUUGAAGCUUUUUUGAACCACAUAAAUAAAUUUUGCUUCCACACUCUUGAGCAAAAGUGUGGAAGGCUUUUUGAAUUUUUUGUAGUUAGGCAAAGUGUGAAGCUUCCUCCCUUCAAGGUGUGGGAGGCUUCUUCCCUCAAAGUGUGUGAAGGCUUUUUCCCUUUAAGGGUGUGGGAAGCUCUCUCCCUUGGAUGUGGGUAGCUCUUUCCCUUCAAGGGUGUAGGUAGCUAUCUCCCUUCAAGGGUGUGGGUAGCUAUUUCCCUUAGGUGUGAAAAGCUCUCUCCUUUCAAGGGUGUGGGAAGCUCCCUCCCUUCAAAGUGUGGUAAGCUCUACCCUUCAAAGUUGUGGGAACCUUCCUCCCUUCGACGUGUGGGAAACUUCCUUUCCUUCGAAGUAUGGGAAGCUCCCUCCCUUCAAAGGUGUGGGAAGCUUCCUCCCUUCAAAGUGUGGAAAGCUUCCUUCCCUUAAAGUGUGGGAAGCUCCUCCCUUCAAGGGUGUGGGAAGCUCUACCCUUCAAAAUGUGAGAAGCAUUUUAUAAGACUCCAUAAAUUGAUUUUGCUUCUACACUCUUGAGCAAGAAGGCUGAUGAGAUGACCUCUACCAACAAGAACUCGAAAAUCCUUGUUGACCGAGACUUGGAUAAAUAACUAGUCGGUCUUGAAGCAGUGUUGUUUAUCCAAACUGAAUGUGCUCCUUGGUCAUUUGAUUCUACAACUCCAAUGUUGUUUAUCCAAACUGAAGUUGUCACCGGUUGCCUUCACAAUGUUGUUUAUCCAAACUGGAGAUGUGUUGGCGAAAAAAAAAUAAAAAAUAAAAAUCUCAAGGUGUUUGAGAGGUUUACGUAGGGCAAUUGUGUGUUGAAUUGGAUGAGUUGUCCUCAUUGCAGAUUGUCCUAUAUUUAUAAGGGUGAACUUUCACGAUGACCAGAUAACCAAGUUACAGAGUUCUCUGCAAACCAUACCUUGUGAAAUAAUAAUCAUGAACUACCACGCAUUAUCCUUUGAAUUUUGGUGAUAUCGUAAUGUUAAUCAUUGAGAUGCAUUGGACCUUUUAAUCUUCAUUGUACAUCACCAUCUUAAUGUUUCAAACGGACAAAAAUGGCAUAUUCAUAUGCUAAUCAUCCAAAGUUGCAUCCUUGUACCAUUGUUCCACGUGGUUCUGGAUGCAAACCCAUUCAAAUAUGGAAUCCAUGCAACUGACUAGAUACAUUUUGAUUAGGAUAGAAUCCUAAAGCUACACGGAAAGCCCUCACAUAACUCUUCUUACUGCCGUGUUGAUUGUAAGGGGUUGGCAAGUAGCCAGCUAUGCAAUCUCUUUUAAUUUCUCCACAACCCGAUAAAACCUUUGAUUAUCUGCAAAAGGAUCCCACGCAUAACUCUGUAAGCUUUAAUGAUAUUUUCAAGAUAAUUAUUAUGAUUAAAAUCAAUAGUAAUGCCAAGAAAAAUCUCUUAAUUUUCAUAGUCAUCCGACGACCACAAUUGCUUGGGCCGAAAAUGCAAAAUCGGGUCCAAACAACCAUAUAAGACGAUUUUGCUUCCAAACUCUUGAGCAAGAGUGUAGAAGACAAUCUACAUGUUGUAGUUGUUGAAGGGUUGUUGAACCAUAUAAUACGAUUUUUCCUCCACACUCUUGAGCAAGAAUGUGGAAGGCUUUGUUGAGUUUGUAUAUGCCUUUUCCGAAUUCUAAGGCUUGAAAUUUUUCAACUGCUUAUGAAUGUUAAGAAUCCACAGGUGCAUGUUGUACUAUUCUUCCCUAGUUGAUGAAAAGAAGGUAAGUUCUUUCAUCACUUGGUUGGUGAGAAGAGUGGUGAGUUGUUGAGGCAAAAAUGUUUAAUAAAGUACUAGUUGUAUCUUCCACCACUUGGUUGGUGAUAAGAAGGUGAGUUCCUUGAUCACCUAGUUGGUAAGAAGAGUGGCAAGUUGCUGAAUCUCAAUAUUGUUUAUUAGAGUACUGGUUGUGCCCUUCAUCACCUGGUUGGUGAUAUGAAGGUGAGUUCCUUCAUCAUCUGGUUGGUAAGAAGAGUGGCAAGUUGCCAAAACUUAAAAUUGUUUCUUAGAGUAUUGGUUGUACUCUUCAUCACCUGGUUGGUGAAACAAAGAUGAGUGCUUCAUCACCUGGUUGGUGGAAAGAACGGCGAGUUACCAAGGUACAUUGUAGCACGUGCCAAAAGAAAAAAAGUGUAUGUUAACACCCUUUCGUAAUUAUGUAUGAAUGUUUUGGAGGGUAUGAAGUUUAUGUUGAUUGACAUAAGUAAUACUUAUGACAUGAGUGAUGUUCAUGACAUGCAUGUUGUUUAUGAAUGUUUUGCUGUGCAUGAAGGAAUCCAUUGUUUGGAUAUGUGAACCGUGUUGGUUAUACCACUUAGUUUCACUUACUUGGUGUUGAAGUACGUAUGUUGAUGCUUUAAGUUAAAGUAUAGAGGUAGGUUAGAGUUAGACCUAGUGUCCAGUGUUAGGAAUGCAAAAGACUUAGACGAAGUUGUCUGAAUUGCCUCUUCAUUAAAUAUUUUCCAAAUGGCUUGUGUUACAAAGGAUGUCAAACGGUUGAAGGUUGAAACAUUUGUUAUGCGUAUGCCUUUCUAUAAUAGCAUUUUCUUCAGUAUCCAGUCCUCCACUUUGAAAAAACGAUGUUUGACCCCAUGGUCAUAACAGUUGAAGGUACGUUCACCCCUGAUUGUCUUGAAACGAACCUUUAUUCCUCUUGUUGUAAUAAGCUUGUUGAGAGUAAAAAUUCUUCCUUUUGCCAAAAGGCAAAUAAGCCUGGUCACCUGGCAGGUUGCUAAGUGGGGCAGGAGGGGAUGCAAUGAGUGUUUGGAUGGCCAAAACCUUCUCACUUGGUAGAACUUGACAUUUACUCCCUACUUGUUGAUAGGGGUUUACCUUAUGAGGGUUCCCUUGGUAUGUCCUUGCCUCAGCAAAUGCAUGAUUGUAAGCUUGCGUCAUCACCUCAAAGUAAGUCUUCCAAGUGUUAGCAUUGAUCAUCUAAUUGAAGUAGAAUUCACGCAUGCCUACUGUGAAGGCCCUGAAUGUUGUUUUGUCAUCUGCCUCAGCACAACGACAGUACUCGUGGUUAAAGCGACCGACAUAUUCUCGCAAUGACUUGUUUGAUUUUUUACGAAUAGUGUAUAACUCAUUAGCAAAGUGUAAACGAUCAGCUUGGAAGAUAUGUUGAGCCACAAAGAGUCUCCUUAGCUCAGCAAAAGAAUCUAUCGUAUCAGGUUGAAGACCACAAUACCAAUUAAGAGUUCCACCAGAGAGAAUGGAGGGAAAAAUGAGAUAUCGUUCCUCAUCACUAUAUCUUCGAUAUGUUAUGGUGGAUUCAAAGAGGUGGAUAUGUUCAAUUGGAUUUUCUCUCUCUGAAUAAGAUUGCAAGCCAAGCUUCUAUUUUAUUUCUCCUCGUAGAAAAGUGCAAAGGAUCAUUUUUAUCAGAUGGCUUAGCCUUGGCUGAUUCCAGUCAGGUAUCCUAGCGUGACGUUCAGCCUUCAACUUGUUCACUUCCUCAAUGAGCUGCAAGAUAAGGGGGUCCUAAGUGGAGUCGGACAUCAUUAAUGAUUUCUUUUGUAGGUUUCCAUCAUUUCUUGAAAGUAGGGAAGAUCAGUCAAGGACAUCUGGCAUUUCCUUGGACUCAAUAUAUUGGCUAUUCUAAUGUGCUUAUUGAAAGUCCCCUGAGUCUCAUACGCCCUUUUGUUGCCGCAAGGCUUGUCGUUCCUUUCCUAGAUUAGGGGUUGGCCUAUGUUAUAAUAGAGGACUUAGCCCUUCAAUGACCCUUGGGUCUUUGAUCUUUGAGCCUAUAUGGAUAGAAUUUUCUCGACGCUAUCUCAAGAAGUCUCAACAGUCAAGGUAAACGGCUCUCGAUCAUUUUUUUUCUUUUGUAAAAAGAUGUCUUCCUCCAUAUAUUUUGCUUUAGUAUGAAGAAGUUGGGUUGAAAGAAGUCUCGUAUUGAUCGACAUUAUGGCGAAAAGAUCGUUCCUCAUUAAGAACGCCCAUGUUGAAGAUAUGUGAACUCUCGUGUUAGUGGGUACUCAUGUGGUGAUUCACAAUCACAGGGGUGAUAAGCUCGUAAGACUGAGUCUGUUUAGCCUCGUAGAGCAUCUCGAAGAGCUUUUAUAUUGUUCUUGGAAGAUCUCAUUUAUGAUCGCUAUCUUGUUGUUCUAAGCCUCUAGCUCUUCGACCCUGGCUUGAAGAGUAAACUUCUUUCUUUCCUUCCUUCGCCGCCUCACACUAGGAACUAGAGGAUGUUAUUCUGCGUGUUAUGGCUCCCUUCACUCCCCAUGUUGGAAAAUGAUGCCUAAUCAAAGGAGAGUGUACAAACGAUGGAAACCAGCUUGACAAAGCUGGGGAUAGUAGGAAUAAGUGUUGUUCCCACAGACGGUGCCAAAUGUUGAUGCAUAAAAUCAGUGAAGACUUUGGAACAACGUAAAGUGUUAAGUUUGUGACCUUCGCUCGGUUGCUUGGUCACCUAGUGAGGAUAAUAUGUAAAGAGAUAGAGAUAAGGAAGCAAACACAAGAUGUAUGUGGUUCACCCUAAGUUUGGCUACGUCCACGAAGUAGAUGAGUUCUCAUUAAUAGUGAAGAGUUUACAAAAAUACAUAGAUUGAAGCAUAAUCAUCAUUAGUGAGUUCUAAUGACUAGUUUUAGUACAAUAAUGAUAUUAGGGAUUCAUGUAGGAGAAUGGUCUUCUUUUAUAGUUGAUGAGAGUCUUCAGCUUUUGUCUGCGGUCGAUGUGAGACUCUAUGAGCUUUAUUCUGACGUUGACAUGUAUCGUGUUAUGAUUGGCCUUCUGGUUGGAGGAAAACUCUUGUGCUUCGACUGGGGUGCCUUAGCAUGAACCCCUCUGUGGAUCCUUAAAGGUAUAAAGUUGACCGAUGCUUGGUAGUUUCGGGAUUGGUCAAGUAUCGUACAAACAAAGUGUAUAACAGUAAAAAAUCUUAGAACUUUUGCCAAAAGCAUAGGCAAUUGACAAAAUAAAUAUAAGCCUGGAUCAUUUUUUUCCACACUGUAAUCGUGGGUACGAAAGAAGGUUCUCGCUUCUCAGUAGAAUCUGAAAUUACUCCCAUUUUCCCGAAGUCAUAGAGAUGCCAUAAAAUUGAGUUAUAUUCCUCACCGAUGCUAUCAUAGUAUCAUUACAGAAUGGAACCACAUUCUAUUCACAAGUGACAAAGACAAUGCCUUAAAAGGUUUCGCUAAUCUAAAUAACGGUUCAAAAAAUGUUCGUAUGUCAUACGCAUUUGAAUGGCACCGGUGGCAUUCUCGAGCGAUUUACCAUAAAUUAGGAUAAGGUGGAAAAUUAAUAAGUUCCUUAGAUCCAAAAUUUAGAAACCACAAAAUUAGUUUGAUGUCUAGUUUAAGCAAGAUAAGAGUACCAAGUAAUGUGUAAAUUAUGUAAUAUGUCAUCAAUAAAAAAUAAACACGUUAAUUAAUACUUAAUUAAUAAUCUAAUUAUCAACUAGCACAUAAUAUAAUUUACAAAAUAUAAUUUACAUACAUGAUCUCGUAGCAUUACCCAUAAUUUUAAUUUAAUCAUUGGAUGUGCUUUAAUGUGGCUAAAACAGUAAAACUCCUUGCAAGCAAAAGUAACAGCAACCAAAAUGGCGUUUUCUAACAAGCCAUGUCAGCUUCUUGGCCUUACUUCACGUGGCCGAUUUUGAAACGACAACAUUAUCACCGUCGUAUGUACUGCACGACUCGAUAAAAUCCCUAAGAAUGUCGUACAGAACUUGGGCCAUGCUGGGGUCGAAGAGCUCCACGCCAUGAAACCCCUCCUCGUCAAACUUGGCCACCACGUGCGCCCCACGUGACUCAAGUAACGCCACAAACUCUUUCUGCCUAUCCAUCAGCGGGUCCCCACCGUACCCUCUAACCAAACGCCUCGGCAACCGUUCGAUCCUCCCAUCCCCAACUCCCGCCGUCGGAUUACAAUACUCGUGAUCCCGAUCGACUCCCUUUGGCAAAGCCGUGGCCCACAUCAAGUCGUUAACGACCAGCUGGCAAAAUGUCCGAUCGUUGAUCAACCUCAUCUCGGAUUCAGUCCUAUGGACCCCACCGAAAAAAGGCUGGUUUAGUAUCAGCCCUCGGAUCUUCAUCGGCAAGAGAUCAUCCACCUCCGUGGAAGUAGAUGAUGAGAGGGAGGUUGGGGUUUGGAGGGUGGGGUUUGAAGAGCCUGAGGAAGGUUUUGUUUUCUGGGUUUAAGGGAGUGUCCUUGGAGAGGACGAGUUGGGGAGAGUUGGAGUCUGACUCGGCGGCGGUGGCGGGAAUGGACUCGGUGGGGGUGGGAGUUGGGGAGACGGUGGGGAAAGGGGUGAAGCGGGAAGACUGCUGCAGGGAUUGUUCCUAGGGUUUCUUUUCAGUCAAUCUCUUGGAAACAUAUCUUUUUGGAGAGGCCAUUUUCCUUGGAGAUUUUGCCGCGUAAGACUCAAUAUUAGUGAUACUUUUAUAUGGGAUCGCACUCUGUUAUGAGUGAUAGGGCUAGUUUGGUAUUGUAAGUGCUAAGGCUAGUUUGGGAUUGCACCCAUAAAUAUGUCUCAUUGCAAACCUCAUCCCUUCGCUCUUCUCACCCAUCUUUCACUCAAACUCUCCCAUCCCCAAGUUUUAAAAACCCAAACAAAUAAAUAAUGAAAUUUCAAACAAGGCAAGCUUACCAAGAGAAGGGCGCCAAGCCGGGAGAACACAUGUGGCAUGAAAAAAGCACUUUACAGAAAGAAAAUGAAUGAUCAUGCAAUAUUUACACGUUGCUGGGCCCGACUUAAACUAGCUCAGUUUCUCCUUUAAAGAGUUGGGCCUCCAUCCUCCCCAAUCUAUGGUACCCAACUCAAUAAGAAAACAUUAAGAAAUGUUGGACCAAGGCGGUAAAGUAAAAGUGAUGCUCACUCCAUCAUUGAUUGCCGUUAAAUUAGUUUAAAUCUUAAAUCAAUUACACCAAACUAAUCUAACGGCAACUAAUGGGGCGCAUAAGGGUAAAAAAAUCUAGAAUUUUCGCCAAAAACAUAGGCAAUUGACAAAAUAUAUAUAAGCCAGGAUCAUUUUUUUUCACUGUCUAAUCUGGAUAUGAAAGAAAGUUUUCACUAGUCAGUAGAAUCUGAAUUUACUCUCAUUUUCCCUUUUACAAGUCACAGAGAUGCCAUAAAAUUGGGUUGUAUUCCUCACCAAGCCGUCAUGACAGAAUGGAAUCACAUUCUAUUCACAAGUGACAAAGACAAUGCACUUAAAAGGUUUUGCUGAUCUAAGUACCAGUUCAAACAAUGUUCGUAUGUCAUACCGUAUGACUCAUACGUAUUCAAAUGGCACCGGUGACAUUCUCGAGCGAUUUACCAUGGUAAAUUAGGAUAGAAUGAAAUUUAAAAAGUUCAUUGGAUCCAAAAUUUAGAAACCACAAAAUUAGUGUGAUGUCUAGGAAUUGAAGAUUUCCAGCAUCCUAUUCAGCUCAAAAAAAAAAACACUUGCUUCAUUCCUAUGAGCAAUGCAGUUUGAUCACGUAAUGUGUAGUAGUGAUGGGGUGGCCAAAAAACACUUGCGUCAUUUCUCAAAAUAGUACAAAGCACAGCCGAAACACAAGUCUACAAGCAAGUCUCUCUCGUACAUUCCACCACCACAAAAAGCACUAGGCUUCUCAUACAACACUAACAACAGUAAGAGAGAAUUUAAUUCUUCCAAACAGAAUGUGCCAUGGCAAGUGCCUUCGCCCAUGAGCGGUAGG
This 28022-nucleotide long non-coding RNA is filed under the name Malus domestica (apple). RNAcentral's name for it is "long non-coding RNA (MDOM_LNC001719)". Lineage: Eukaryota; Viridiplantae; Streptophyta; Magnoliopsida; Rosales; Rosaceae. The record is from RNAcentral.